AUAAAUCUAUUAAUAAAAGUUAUGGAAAUGUCUUGGAAACUCAUUGGGCAAAUGUGUAGGAACCGUUCAGUUUGAACAAAUAAUCCUAAAUGGAUACAGAAGAGCAUAUGAUCAAAUAAAAACUUUCUGAACCAUUUAACCAUAUAACCAACAAUAGCAUUCCAGACAACAAAACUAACCUACACAAUAUAGGUACACAGGUGUUGAGAAAUCACCUCUCCUGUCUCAAAGCAUUUACCUGAAAUCAUGUGACUCUGAUCCUGCUUAAUAUGGCAAAACAGGAAAUGCAUUAAGGAGGGAAAGUGAGGAAUAAAAAGAGGACAGUUCUGUGCACACUCUAGUGCAAACACACUCGAGAGACAUUCUUGUGAAUGACACAGCUUUAGAGAAAUGGCUUUCAGGACUCAGCAAGCAAGUGUCUGCCCGCUUCUCCUAAUCUCAUUCUGCUUACACUUCAUCACAGGUACAGUAGCAUUUAAAUACUUAUCAGGAUAGUUUACAGAUUUUUCAGAUAUUGGUCAUGGAGGUGAUGUGGGACACAUUGUUUUAUGUUUCUGGAUUUGUCUUUAGAUAACAGGGCCACUGCAAUAUCCAUUCGAGAAAAAUGUGAGUGUGCUGAGGAAACUGGCUCAGUGCAAUGGAGAAAAAUUACAGACUACACGAUCAUACAGAAAGAUCCUCUUUGCAACAAGGUUCAAAUCAUACUCCAGCUGUCAGGUAAACGAUCUUGUCUAAAUCCAGAGUCCAAGCAGGGGAAAAAACUACAAAGAUGCUGGAGAAGAAUUAAAUUCAACACACAGAAGAAGAAGGUCUGUCUGAAGCUCAAGAAGAAGAAUGGACCAAAAAAGCCCAAGAGGCAUUAAUUCAACAAUCUUUACCUUUUCUGUGUAGAAAGACUAUGUGCCUGUACUUUGUCAUUUACCCUGCCAGUCCUUUAUUUGCACAAAUAAAUGAUAUAUGUAUUAUGUAGAUGGAAUUUGUGUAUAUCUAUAUUUUGUACUGCUAUUUUCUAAUAAAAACGUAUAAAAGUUUUUGCAUGGUUUCGUGCAAUUGAUGUGAUAAUUAGCUUAUAUCAUUUUAUGUCCAUAUUUA
Molecule: long non-coding RNA, 1092 nt
Filed under: Sinocyclocheilus anshuiensis
Lineage: Eukaryota; Metazoa; Chordata; Actinopteri; Cypriniformes; Cyprinidae
Description: lncRNA (ENSSANG00000030397.1)
Source: RNAcentral